RNAcentral lists this ribosomal RNA (497 nucleotides) under uncultured bacterium. RNAcentral's name for it is "partial 16S ribosomal RNA". It matches the Rfam family "Bacterial small subunit ribosomal RNA", at positions 28 to 507 of the family's 1533-position model. The record is from RNAcentral.
GAUGAACGCUGGCGGCGUGCCUAAUACAUGCAAGUCGAGCGAACAGACGAGGAGCUUGCUCCUCUGACGUUAGCGGCGGACGGGUGAGUAACACGUGGAUAACCUACCUAUAAGACUGGGAUAACUUCGGGAAACCGGAGCUAAUACCGGAUAAUAUAUUGAACCGCAGGGUUCAAUAGUGAAAGACGGGUUUGCUGUCACUUAUAGAUGGAUCCGCGCCGCAUUAGCUCGUUGGUAAGGUAACGGCCUACCAAGGCGACGAUGCGUAGCCGACCUGAGAGCGUGAUCGCCCACACUGGAGCUGAGACACCGUCCAUACUCCUACGGGAGGCAGCAGUAGGGAAUCUUCCGCAAUGGGCGAAAGCCUUACGGAGCAACGCCGCGUCAGUGAUGAAGGUCCUCGGAUCGUAAAGCUCUGUUAUUAGUGAAGAACAAAUGUGUAAGUAACUGUGCACGUCUUGACGGUACCUAAUCAGAAAGCCCCGGCUAACUACGUG